This 305-nucleotide ribosomal RNA is filed under the name uncultured bacterium. RNAcentral's name for it is "partial 16S ribosomal RNA". It matches the Rfam family "Bacterial small subunit ribosomal RNA", at positions 508 to 808 of the family's 1533-position model. The record is from RNAcentral.
ACAGCAGUAGCGCGGUAAUACGUAGGUGGCAAGCGUUGUCCGGAAUUAUUGGGCGUAAAGGGCUCGCAGGCGGUUUCUUAAGUCUGAUGUGAAAGCCCCCGGCUCAACCGGGGAGGGUCAUUGGAAACUGGGAAACUUGAGUGCAGAAGAGGAGAGUGGAAUUCCACGUGUAGCGGUGAAAUGCGUAGAGAUGUGGAGGAACACCAGUGGCGAAGGCGACUCUCUGGUCUGUAACUGACGUUGAGGAGCGAAAGCGUGGGGAGCGAACAGGAUUAGAUACCCCAGUAGUCCCUGUCUCUUAUACA